RNAcentral lists this ribosomal RNA (24 nucleotides) under Phycodrys gardneri. RNAcentral describes it as "Asterocolax gardneri partial 18S ribosomal RNA". The record is from RNAcentral. RNAcentral also lists the same sequence under 2 other names. Lineage: Eukaryota; Rhodophyta; Florideophyceae; Ceramiales; Delesseriaceae.
GGAAGGAUCAUUCUCAAUAUUUUU